RNAcentral lists this ribosomal RNA (252 nucleotides) under uncultured bacterium. RNAcentral describes it as "partial 16S ribosomal RNA". It matches the Rfam family "Bacterial small subunit ribosomal RNA", at positions 524 to 776 of the family's 1533-position model. The record is from RNAcentral.
GACAGAGGCCUCAAGCGUUAGGCGGAAUCACUGGGCUUAAAGCGUGUGUAGGCGGAUCGUUAAGUGUCUUGUGAAAUCCCACGGCUCACCCGUGGAACUGCUGGGCAUACUGGCGAUCUUGGGCCAACUAGGGGCAACUGGAACAAGCGGUGGAGCGGUGAAAUGCGUAGAUAUCGCUUGGAACGCCAAAGGUGAAAACAGGUGCUGGGGUUGUGCCGACGCUGAGACACGAAAGCCAGGGGAGCAAACGGG